GACGAACGCUGGCGGCGUGCCUAAUACAUGCAAGUAGAACGCUGAAGGAGGAGCUUGCUCUUCUGGAUGAGUUGCGAACGGGUGAGUAACGCGUAGGUAACCUGCCUGGUAGCGGGGGAUAACUAUUGGAAACGAUAGCUAAUACCGCAUAACAGUAGAUGUUGCAUGACAUUUGCUUAAAAGGUGCAAUUGCACCACUACCAGAUGGACCUGCGUUGUAUUAGCUAGUGGGUGGGGUAACGGCUCACCAAGGCGACGAUACAUAGCCGACCUGAGAGGGUGAUCGGCCACACUGGGACUGAGACACGGCCCAGACUCCUACGGGAGGCAGCAGUAGGGAAUCUUCGGCAAUGGACGGAAGUCUGACCGAGCAACGCCGCGUGAGUGAAGAAGGUUUUCGGAUCGUAAAGCUCUGUUGUAAGAGAAGAACGAGUGUGAGAGUGGAAAGUUCACACUGUGACGGUAUCUUACCAGAAAGGGACGGCUAACUACGUG
Molecule: ribosomal RNA, 495 nt
Filed under: uncultured bacterium
Lineage: Bacteria
Description: partial 16S ribosomal RNA
Rfam family: Bacterial small subunit ribosomal RNA
Source: RNAcentral